UUUCUACACGUCACCUUCCUGCACAGUAACAAACUGGUAGAUAGCGAACUGGGUUGCUACUGGUGAUAACACAUUGUCCUGCAUUGGAGGAUGUUGUUCAUUGCUAAUGGUCCCAUACAGAGAACCAAGUCUGUAUACAGAGCUCAUGAGACAAAUAAAUGCCUGGCAGGAUGAGUGGAAAUCGUUCUUACAAGAAGGCAUGAUAUAUGACUUGGAUGCCACAAUCCUCGUACAGGCACUGAACCUGGCCUCCCUUAUCUCCACUAUAUAAUACCAUGAUGUUCAUAGAAGCAGAAGUAUGCAGAAGAGCUAAAUGCAGGCACUCAGUUGAAAUCUUCUAAUCUGAUCACAAUUUUUUUUUAAUUUUUUUUUAUUCUUCAGUGGAAAUUAACUUCUUUCCCAUUAUGCUGGUUUUGGUUGGGGUAGGUUUAAUUUUCUUCAUAGUAGCUAUUAUGGGGCUGUGUUUUGGAUUUGUGCUGGAAACAGUGUUGAUGACACAGGGAUGUGUUAGUUAUUGUUGAGAAGUGUUUACACAGAGUCAAGGCCUUUUCUGCUUCUCACCCCACCCCAACAGUGAGCAGGCUGGAGGCGCACAAGGAGUUGGGAGAGGACACAGCUGGGACAGCUGACCCCAACUGAG
Pezoporus flaviventris is the source of this 640-nucleotide long non-coding RNA. RefSeq lists it as uncharacterized. The transcript is spliced from 3 exons. The record is from RefSeq and is a predicted model, not a curated record. NCBI's taxonomy places the organism in Eukaryota, Metazoa, Chordata, Aves, Psittaciformes, Psittacidae.